UUGAGUUUCCCACAGUAGGGACCUUGACUAGGUGUACCAGAGUUGUACCUUGCCUUUGUCUCUAACUUAAUGUGCCUAUCUCCGUUCAUGCAAAAACUUCAUCGCUAGAAAGAUGGAGGUCUAAUCACCAAACAUCCUUCAAGUUCAUAAAAAUUCAUUCCACUUAAGUUAGAGGCGUCAUAAGCAGCAAAGUAUCUCCUUAACACCCGCUUUGCCAUUGUUUUAGCUUGAUGUUCCAUCCAUUUGAAUAUGUCGUUGAUCUGUUUUUCUUGGAAGUGUAUACCCAGUUUUCGCCAGCAAGCCCUAGCUUUUUUUCACAAUUAAAGAAGACAUGUUCGAUGGUUUUCUCCUAUUCACAUCUAGGGCACACGUUCACAAUUCCAAUCCUUUUCUCCUGCAGUUUAGAUUUUACCAGAGGGAUAUUAUUCAGCAAUCUCCAUGUGAAAUUCUUAACUUUAGGGGGGACUUCUGACUGCCACAAAUACUUCCACAUGUUAAAUGAUCAUUGUGCGUGGUUUGUAUGGAAACCCAUCAAAUGUUGGUAUGCCACUUUUAUG
RNAcentral lists this long non-coding RNA (557 nucleotides) under Carica papaya (papaya). RNAcentral describes it as "long non-coding RNA (CPAP_LNC008479)". Lineage: Eukaryota; Viridiplantae; Streptophyta; Magnoliopsida; Brassicales; Caricaceae. The record is from RNAcentral.